CCUACGGGAGGCAGCAGUGAGGAAUAUUGGUCAAUGGGCGAGAGCCUGAACCAGCCCAAGUAGCGUGCAGGAUGACGGCCCUAUGGGUUGUAAACUGCUUUUAUAAGGGAAUAAAGUGAGCCUCGUGAGGCUUUUUGCAUGUACCUUAUGAAUAAGGACCGGCUAAUUCCGUGCCAGCAG
This 180-nucleotide ribosomal RNA is filed under the name uncultured bacterium. RNAcentral describes it as "partial 16S ribosomal RNA". It matches the Rfam family "Bacterial small subunit ribosomal RNA", at positions 338 to 514 of the family's 1533-position model. The record is from RNAcentral.